GAUGAAGAACGUAGCAAAAUGCGAUAAGUAAUGUGAAUUGCAGAAUUCAGUGAAUCAUCGAAUCUUUGAACGCACAUGGCGCCUUCCAGUAUCCUGGGAGGCAUGCCUGUCCGAGCGUCGUUUCAACCCUCGAGCCCCCGUGGCCCGGCGUUGGGGAUCUGCCCAGGCAGUCCCCGAAAACCAGUGGCGGACCCGUUACAGGCCCUUCCCUUGCGUAGUAGCAUUCGCCUCGCAUCGGGAGCCGGCGGGCUUCCAGCCUCUAAACCCCCAUCAAGUCCGCCCCGGCGGCACCAAGGUUGACCUCGGAUCAGGUAGGAAUACCCGCUGAACUUAAGCAUAUCAAUAAGCGGAGGA
This 354-nucleotide unclassified non-coding RNA is filed under the name soil metagenome. RNAcentral describes it as "partial contains 5.8S ribosomal RNA, internal transcribed spacer 2, and large subunit ribosomal RNA". The stretch from base 1 to 120 matches the Rfam family "5.8S ribosomal RNA", at positions 35 to 154 of the family's 154-position model. The record is from RNAcentral.